Molecule: signal recognition particle RNA, 97 nt
Filed under: Deltaproteobacteria bacterium
Lineage: Bacteria; Pseudomonadati; Myxococcota; Myxococcia
Description: signal recognition particle sRNA small type
Rfam family: Bacterial small signal recognition particle RNA
About the family: The signal recognition particle (SRP) is a universally conserved ribonucleoprotein involved in the co-translational targeting of proteins to membranes. Archaeal SRP consists of a 7S RNA and homologues of the eukaryotic SRP19 and SRP54 proteins.
Source: RNAcentral
CCCUCGGCUCAACGUAACGUUACUCUACUAACCCCGUCAGGUCCGGAAGGAAGCAGCGGUCCGUGGCUCGGGACGUGUCGUAGAUGACCGGGGGGUU